UGCCACAGGCAUCAAGGGGUCCGAAAGGCUCCCUGAUGUGCCUGACUGGGACUGAGUAAGUCUCAGGGGCCAAGGAAAGGUAAGGAGUAAAAUCCUUACUAAGUACUUGGAGGCCAGAAGGUAACAGGGGUAUUGGAAAAGCCCGGUACCUCUGUGAAAUCUGGUAAAACCCUGGGAUGAGAGGUCUCGGGAGGGUGCAAGGGAGAAGCUGAGUAGGGUCCGUUGAGCCUGUGGCA
RNAcentral lists this non-coding RNA (236 nucleotides) under Dictyoglomus thermophilum H-6-12. Its description in RNAcentral is "Dictyoglomi-1 RNA". It matches the Rfam family "Dictyoglomi-1 RNA". The record is from Rfam by way of RNAcentral. Lineage: Bacteria; Pseudomonadati; Dictyoglomota; Dictyoglomia; Dictyoglomales; Dictyoglomaceae.